RNAcentral lists this ribosomal RNA (440 nucleotides) under uncultured bacterium. RNAcentral's name for it is "partial 16S ribosomal RNA". It matches the Rfam family "Bacterial small subunit ribosomal RNA", at positions 338 to 795 of the family's 1533-position model. The record is from RNAcentral.
CCUACGGGUGGCAGCAGUGGGGAAUAUUGCACAAUGGGGGAAACCCUGAUGCAGCGACGCCGCGUGAGUGAAGAAGGAUCUCGGUACUGAAAGCUCUAUCUGCGGGGAAGAAAAUGACGGUACCUGACUCAGAAUCCCCGGCGAACUACGUGACAGCAGCGGCGGUAAUAAGGAGGGGGCAAGCGUUAUCCGGAUUUACGGGGUGUAAAGGGAGCGUAUACGGCAGCACAGGUCUGGAGUGAAACCCCGGGGCUUAACCCCCGAACUGCUGUGGAAACUGUGCGGCUGGAGUGGAGGAGGGGUAAGCGGAAUUCGUAGUGUAGCGGUGAAAUGCGUAGAUAUUAGGAAGAACACCGGUGGCGAAGGCGGCUUACUGGACUGUAACUGACGUUGAGGCUCGAAAGCGUGGGGAGCGAACAGGAUUAGAUACCCGAGUAGUC